Molecule: ribosomal RNA, 460 nt
Filed under: uncultured bacterium
Lineage: Bacteria
Description: partial 16S ribosomal RNA
Rfam family: Bacterial small subunit ribosomal RNA
Source: RNAcentral
CCUACGGGGGGCAGCAGUGAGGAAUAUUGGUCAAUGGGCUUACGCCUGAACCAGCCAAGUCGCGUGAGGGAAGACUGCCCUAUGGGUUGUAAACCUCUUUUGUCAGGGAGCAAUUGGCGCUACGUGUAGCGUUAUCGAGAGUACCUGAAGAAAAAGCAUCGGCAAACUCCGUGCCAGCAGCCGCGGUAAUACGGAGGAUGCGAGCGUUAUCCGGAUUUAGUGGGUUUAAGGGGUGCGUAGGCGGAAUGCCAAGUCAGCGGGAAAAUCGCGGGGCUCAACCUCGCUCCGCCGUUGAAACUGGCGUUCUUGAGUGGGCGAGAAGUAUGCGGAAUGCGUGGUGUAGCGGUGAAAUGCAUAGAUAUCACGCAGAACACCGAUUGCGAAGGCAGCAUACCGGCGCCCAACUGACGCUGAAGCACGAAAGCGUGGGUAUCGAACAGGAUUAGAUACCCCUGUAGUC